RNAcentral lists this ribosomal RNA (450 nucleotides) under uncultured bacterium. RNAcentral describes it as "partial 16S ribosomal RNA". It matches the Rfam family "Bacterial small subunit ribosomal RNA", at positions 354 to 796 of the family's 1533-position model. The record is from RNAcentral.
GUGGGGAAUCUUCCACAAUGGACGAAAGUCUGAUGGAGCAACGCCGCGUGAGUGAAGAAGGGUUUCGGCUCGUAAAGCUCUGUUGUCGGGGACGAAUGUGCAGUAUUUGAAUAAAGUAGUGCAAUGACGGUACCUGACGAGGAAGCCACGGCUAACUACGUGCCAGCAGCCGCGGUAAUACGUAGGUGGCAAGCGUUGUCCGGAAUUAUUGGGCGUAAAGGGAGCGCAGGCGGGAAGGUAAGUCGGUCUUAAAAGUGCGGGGCUCAACCCCGUGAUGGGAUCGAAACUAUCUUUCUUGAGUGCAGGAGAGGAAAGUGGAAUUCCUAGUGUAGCGGUGAAAUGCGUAGAUAUUAGGAGGAACACCAGUGGCGAAGGCGACUUUCUGGACUGUAACUGACGCUGAGGCUCGAAAGCCAGGGGAGCGAACGGGAUUAGAAACCCCAGUAGUCC